Mirounga angustirostris (Northern elephant seal) is the source of this 187-nucleotide small nuclear RNA. RefSeq annotates it as U2 spliceosomal RNA. The transcript has a single exon. Lineage: Eukaryota; Metazoa; Chordata; Mammalia; Carnivora; Phocidae. The record is from RefSeq and is a predicted model, not a curated record.
AUUGCUUCUCGGCUUUUUGGCUAAAUUCAAGUGUAGUAUCUGUUCUUGUCAGUUUAAUAUUUUUAUUCAUUUAAUGUUUUUUAAAAGCAUUUAUUUAUUUAUUUAUUAGAGAGAGGGAGAGCCCAGACGGAGAGGGAGAAGCAGACUCCCCACUGAGCAGGGAGCCCAACGCAGGGCUCGAUCCCAG